This 311-nucleotide ribosomal RNA is filed under the name Escherichia coli. Its description in RNAcentral is "bacterial SSU rRNA". It matches the Rfam family "Bacterial small subunit ribosomal RNA", at positions 1 to 308 of the family's 1533-position model. RNAcentral also lists the same sequence under 1 other name. The record is from RNAcentral. Lineage: Bacteria; Pseudomonadati; Pseudomonadota; Gammaproteobacteria; Enterobacterales; Enterobacteriaceae.
AAAUUGAAGAGUUUGAUCAUGGCUCAGAUUGAACGCUGGCGGCAGGCCUAACACAUGCAAGUCGAACGGUAACAGGAAGCAGCUUGCUGCUUCGCUGACGAGUGGCGGACGGGUGAGUAAUGUCUGGGAAACUGCCUGAUGGAGGGGGAUAACUACUGGAAACGGUAGCUAAUACCGCAUAAUGUCGCAAGACCAAAGAGGGGGACCUUCGGGCCUCUUGCCAUCGGAUGUGCCCAGAUGGGAUUAGCUUGUUGGUGGGGUAACGGCUCACCAAGGCGACGAUCCCUAGCUGGUCUGAGAGGAUGACCAGC